AGUGAACGCUGGCGGUAGGCCUAACACAUGCCAGUCGAACGGCAGCACAGUAAGAGCUUGCUCUUACGGGUGGCGAGUGGCGGACGGGUGAGGAAUACAUCGGAAUCUACUUUUUCGUGGGGGAUAACGUAGGGAAACUUACGCUAAUACCGCAUACGACCUACGGGUGAAAGCAGGGGAUCUUCGGACCUUGCGCGAUUGAAUGAGCCGAUGUCGGAUUAGCUAGUUGGCGGGGUAAAGGCCCACCAAGGCGACGAUCCGUAGCUGGUCUGAGAGGAUGAUCAGCCACACUGGAACUGAGACACGGUCCAGACUCCUACGGGAGGCAGCAGUGGGGAAUAUUGGACAAUGGGCGCAAGCCUGAUCCAGCCAUACCGCGUGAGUGAAGAAGGCCUUCGGGUUGUAAAGCCCUUUUGUUGGGAAAGAAGAGCAGCAUGUGAAUACCCCGCUGUUCUGACGGUACCCAAAGAGUAAGCACCGGCUAACUUCGUG
Molecule: ribosomal RNA, 492 nt
Filed under: uncultured bacterium
Lineage: Bacteria
Description: partial 16S ribosomal RNA
Rfam family: Bacterial small subunit ribosomal RNA
Source: RNAcentral